This 1004-nucleotide long non-coding RNA is filed under the name Cyanistes caeruleus (blue tit). RNAcentral describes it as "lncRNA (ENSCCEG00000002544.1)". The record is from RNAcentral. Lineage: Eukaryota; Metazoa; Chordata; Aves; Passeriformes; Paridae.
GUCGCAGCGCCCCCCUGUCCCCUCUGUUCGCUCAGUGGGGCAGGGGGCUCCUGCCCAGGUCCCGGUCCUGCCUUCGCCUUCCAAUCCCCGCCGGUCCCAGUGGCCCCCGGCCCGCUUCCCCCCGCCCACUGUUCUCUCCGCCCAUCCGCUCCCGAGUCGCCACGAUCCCCCUCGGUCGCAGGUCUCCACCGGUCCCUCCGCCGGUGCCCGGUGCCCCCUUGGUCCCCACCUUCCCCUUCUGUUUUUCCUCCCGGUCCCCCCGCUCACGGUUCUCCAGCUCCCCCGGUACCCCAAUCCCGGUAUCAUGGUAUCCCGCUCACCCUUCUCCAGUCCCGAUCCCCAUAUUCUGGUACCCCGACCCCCCACAUUCUGACAUCCCGGUGUUCCGCUUACCGCUCUCCAGCUUUCCCCGCUAUCCGCUAUCCCGAGAUCCCGGUGUGUAUCUCCCAGUGUGUACUCCAAUAUUCCCAUAUCCCUCUCACCUCUCUCCCGCUCCCGCCGCUUUUCCCUGACCCGGUAUCCCGAUAUCCCGGUGUGUAUCGAAGUGUCUAUGCCGAUAUCCUGGUGUGUUUCCCCGUGUGUACCGUGUGUAACGCGAUAUCCCGAGACCCCCUCACGCCUCUCCCCCUCCCGCCGCCUUUCCCCUCACGGGCCCGGUGCUCCCGCGGGCCCCGCCCGUCCCCCGCUUCCGCCGCUCAUUGGUUGGCUGCGAGGCUGCCGCUUCCCAUUGGUCAGCUUUGCCCCGGGUCCCACCUCCGCAGCUUCCCAUUCGCCGGGGCUACCGUCAGUUCGGAGUUCGCCCGGCCCCACCUGAUGGUCAUUAAAAAUGAUUGGCGAGGGGCAGGGCCUCUUCAAGGGACGGGGCAAAGGGACACUGACGUUAUGGGCGGGGCUUUGUGCAGAGGGGCGUGAUGCCAGUGAUUGACAUGAGAGGGGCGGGGCUAGUGGGUACGGGGCGGGGCUUACACGCCCAGCCUCGUGCCUUGCACGAGGGCUCGUUAAUU